AGGGUUGUAGUUAAUUAUAACAUUUGAAUUGCAAUCAAAAAGUACUGGUUUCAGUCAACCUUA
RNAcentral lists this transfer RNA (63 nucleotides) under Phaneroptera nigroantennata. RNAcentral's name for it is "tRNA-Ala". It matches the Rfam family "tRNA". From Rfam's summary of the family: Transfer RNA (tRNA) molecules are approximately 80 nucleotides in length. Their secondary structure includes four short double-helical elements and three loops (D, anti-codon, and T loops). Further hydrogen bonds mediate the characteristic L-shaped molecular structure. tRNAs have two regions of fundamental functional importance: the anti-codon, which is responsible for specific mRNA codon recognition, and the 3' end, to which the tRNAs corresponding amino acid is attached (by aminoacyl-tRNA synthetases). tRNAs cope with the degeneracy of the genetic code in two manners: having more than one tRNA (with a specific anti-codon) for a particular amino acid; and 'wobble' base-pairing, i.e. permitting non-standard base-pairing at the 3rd anti-codon position. Lineage: Eukaryota; Metazoa; Arthropoda; Insecta; Orthoptera; Tettigoniidae. The record is from RNAcentral.